UGACCCUUGUUUUUUCUAAUUUCUUUUUAUUUUCUGAAUUUUCAUUUAAUCCUUUUAUUUUGUUUAAUUCAUAUUAAUUUCAUUUUUAAUCCAAAAAUAUGGGACUUUCACCAAAAAUCUUUAAAUAUUUUUCUCUUCCAUAUUCUGAAUUAAAAUUAUUUUUUUGGAUUCAUUUUUAUAUUUUUCAUGAAUUCAAUGUUUU
RNAcentral lists this long non-coding RNA (202 nucleotides) under Lathyrus oleraceus (garden pea). Its description in RNAcentral is "Pisum sativum (pea) long non-coding RNA (PSAT_LNC033036)". Lineage: Eukaryota; Viridiplantae; Streptophyta; Magnoliopsida; Fabales; Fabaceae. The record is from RNAcentral.